Molecule: ribosomal RNA, 253 nt
Filed under: uncultured bacterium
Lineage: Bacteria
Description: partial 16S ribosomal RNA
Rfam family: Bacterial small subunit ribosomal RNA
Source: RNAcentral
GACAGAGGUGCCGAGCGUUAGGCGGAAUCAUUGGGCGUAAAGCGCGCGUAGGUGGCUUCGUAAGUCCGUUGUGAAAGUCAAAGGCUCAACCUUUGAAAGCCGAUGGAUACUGUGAAGCUAGAGUACGGAAGAGGCGAGUGGAAUUCCUGGUGUAGCGGUGGAAUGCGCAGAUAUCAGGAGGAACACCAAUAGCGAAGGCAGCUCGCUGGGACGUUACUGACACUGAGGCGCGAAGGCGUGGGGAGCGAACAGG